GAUGAACGCUAGCUACAGGCUUAACACAUGCAAGUCGAGGGGCAGCGGGAAGCAAGCUUGCUUGCUUUGCCGGCGACCGGCGUACGGGUGCGUAACGCGUACCGAACCUACCUCACACUCCGGGAUAGCCCCUGCGAAAGCAGGAUUAAUACCGGGUAGCCUCACUAUAUCGCAUGAUAUUAUGAGUAAAGAUUUAUUGGUGUGAGAUGGCGGUGCGUCCCAUUAGUUAGUUGGCGGGGUAACGGCCCACCAAGACGACGAUGGGUAGGGGUUCUGAGAGGAAGGUCCCCCACAUUGGAACUGAGACACGGUCCAAACUCCUACGGGAGGCAGCAGUGAGGAAUAUUGGUCAAUGGCCGCAAGGCUGAACCAGCCAAGUAGCGUGCAAGGGAAGACGGGUCCCCUCGGGUUGUAAAACUGCUUUUAG
Molecule: ribosomal RNA, 427 nt
Filed under: uncultured bacterium
Lineage: Bacteria
Description: bacterial SSU rRNA
Rfam family: Bacterial small subunit ribosomal RNA
Source: RNAcentral